This 73-nucleotide transfer RNA is filed under the name Saprospiraceae bacterium. RNAcentral's name for it is "tRNA-Arg". It matches the Rfam family "tRNA". From Rfam's summary of the family: Transfer RNA (tRNA) molecules are approximately 80 nucleotides in length. Lineage: Bacteria; Pseudomonadati; Bacteroidota; Saprospiria; Saprospirales; Saprospiraceae. The record is from RNAcentral.
GGUCCUAUAGUACAAGGGAUAGUAUGAAGGUUUCCGGAACCUUAGAUCCAGGUUCGAGUCCUGGUAGGACCAC